Molecule: transfer RNA, 76 nt
Filed under: Chloroflexota bacterium
Lineage: Bacteria; Bacillati; Chloroflexota
Description: tRNA-Asn
Rfam family: tRNA
About the family: Transfer RNA (tRNA) molecules are approximately 80 nucleotides in length. Their secondary structure includes four short double-helical elements and three loops (D, anti-codon, and T loops). Further hydrogen bonds mediate the characteristic L-shaped molecular structure. tRNAs have two regions of fundamental functional importance: the anti-codon, which is responsible for specific mRNA codon recognition, and the 3' end, to which the tRNAs corresponding amino acid is attached (by aminoacyl-tRNA synthetases). tRNAs cope with the degeneracy of the genetic code in two manners: having more than one tRNA (with a specific anti-codon) for a particular amino acid; and 'wobble' base-pairing, i.e. permitting non-standard base-pairing at the 3rd anti-codon position.
Source: RNAcentral
UCCGGCGUAGCUCAGUCGGUAGAGCGGGCGGCUGUUAACCGCCAUGUCGCAGGUUCGAGUCCUGCCGCCGGAGCCA